This 493-nucleotide ribosomal RNA is filed under the name uncultured bacterium. RNAcentral's name for it is "partial 16S ribosomal RNA". It matches the Rfam family "Bacterial small subunit ribosomal RNA", at positions 28 to 506 of the family's 1533-position model. The record is from RNAcentral.
GACGAACGCUGGCGGCGUGCUUAACACAUGCCAGUCGAACGGAAAGGCCUGCUUUCCCUUGUGGAUUGCGGGUACUCGAGUGGCGAACGGGUGAGUAACACGUGAGUGAUCUGCCCCCAACUUGGGUAUAAGCCUGGGAAACUGGGUCUAAUUCCCGAUAGGACUGCAGGGUGGUGCCUGUGGUGGAAAACGAUUUUCUAGUGGUUGGGGAUGAGCUCGCGGCCUAUCAGCUUGUUGGUGGGGUAAUGGCCUACCAAGGCGGCGACGGGUAGCCGGCCUGAGAGGGUGGACGGCCACAUUGGGACUGAGAUACGGCCCAGACUCCUACGGGAGGCAGCAGUGGGGAAUAUUGCACAAUGGGCGGAAGCCUGAUGCAGCGACGCCGCGUGGGGGAUGACGGCCUUCGGGUUGUAAACUCCUUUCGACCGCGAGGAAGCCACCUGGUUGGAAGGGUGGUGACGGUAGUGGUAGAAGAAGCACCGGCUAACUACGU